AGUGAACGCUGGCGGUAGGCCUAACACAUGCAAGUCGAACGGCAGCACCGUAAGAGCUUGCUCUUACGGGUGGCGAGUGGCGGACGGGUGAGGAAUACAUCGGAAUCUACUUUUUCGUGGGGGAUAACGUAGGGAAACUUACGCUAAUACCGCAUACGACCUACGGGUGAAAGCAGGGGAUCUUCGGACCUUGCGCGAUUGAAUGAGCCGAUGUCGGAUUAGCUAGUUGGCGGGGUAAAGGCCCACCAAGGCGACGAUCCGUAGCUGGUCUGAGAGGAUGAUCAGCCACACUGGAACUGAGACACGGUCCAGACUCCUACGGGAGGCAGCAGUGGGGAAUAUUGGACAAUGGGCGCAAGCCUGAUCCAGCCAUACCGCGUGAGUGAAGAAGGCCUUCGGGUUGUAAAGCCCUUUUGUUGGGAAAGAAAAGCAGCAGGUUAAUACCCCGCUGUUCUGACGGUACCCAAAGAAUAAGCACCGGCUAACUUCGUG
RNAcentral lists this ribosomal RNA (492 nucleotides) under uncultured bacterium. Its description in RNAcentral is "partial 16S ribosomal RNA". It matches the Rfam family "Bacterial small subunit ribosomal RNA", at positions 29 to 507 of the family's 1533-position model. The record is from RNAcentral.